This 205-nucleotide unclassified non-coding RNA is filed under the name uncultured Sebacinaceae. RNAcentral's name for it is "sequence contains ITS2". The record is from RNAcentral. Lineage: Eukaryota; Fungi; Basidiomycota; Agaricomycetes; Sebacinales; Sebacinaceae.
UAAUCUCACUCAUCUGACUCUUGUCAGCAUGUUGUGGAUUUGGAUGCUGCUGUGUCUGACAGCUCAUCUGAAAUUUCUGAGUGCAUCCUGUAUUGCGAUGUGUUUGGUGUGAUAAAUCUUCACCACAAUUGACUCCUUGGGGGUCACACUCGCUUGCUUCAUGGCUCUGUGCUUCUAAUCAUCCCCAAAGGGAUAAUAACUGACA